GAAAAUUAAGUUACCUGUUGUGAACUGGAUCCGGUCCACUGUGCACCUUCCUCUUGCUGCUACUGAAAGGAUCAUCAGCCUUGAAUUCCUCCAGUGUCCUCUUAGUCAAUCCUCUAUUGACUCCAGUCAUCAUCCUCCUACCGCCUACUACUGCAUUGGCUAACCGCACAGGAGAUGAAUGUUUCACGCUACUCUCCACCAUCAUUGACACCAGAACAAGGCCUCCAAACAGGAUGGCCAAUGCCGGCUUCGCAGACCUUCCCAGCCGGCUCAUGAUAGCUCCUACCUUUGUGUUGGCUCGGCACUGCCACCACCACAACCCCUCUAUGUGCUUCUCAUAGGGUGGUGCUGGUGCAGCUGCAAGAACUCCAAUAUGAGUCUGCUUCUCGUGUGCCUUUGAAGGGCCUAAUGCAGGGGGCAGGGUAGAAUCAAAGCAACUGAGCCAUGCUUGCUUUUGUCCUUUGCUUUUCUUUUCCUUGAGUUAUGCUAUUUUUCUUUCUUUUCUUUUGAUUUCAUAUGUAAUUGGUCUUGAUUGGUCAAAGAAGAUCCAAUAGCCUAUAGGAGUUCAAGGUUGCAACUGACCGUGCUGCCUGGUCCAUAAGGAUUCCUUGGUUAGAGGAUAAUCUUGAUUACUUGAAAGUGUUAAGGAUGGAAUAAAAGAAGGGGAAGAAGUAACCUUUGAGUAAAUCUAGGAGGGGCAUGACAGAUGAGAGAUUGUUCUGAUUAAGCAAGGCACAGAAAGCAACUGCAAAGUGAGAAGCACCCUGGAGAAAUACACAUCUGUAUGCUACUACUUUCAGGCAUGUUACUGAAAAAACAUGGUCAGUACAAAAUAGUUUGGACCUGAUGUGAUUUAUCAGCAUAUCUGAAGCAAGCAGAUUUUCCUUGACCAAAAGCCAAGAUGAGGCAGGGGACAAGUCCAUAUCACUCCUAUAUUGUGGAAAGGGCCAAAGGAGUUGGUUAUUUUUGAGACAGCCUGACACACUGGCUGUCCUGCAAUUCACUGUUAUGCAAGCUAGCAAAAAUAAAGUGCAAGAGGUGGCUGCAUGCAUUACUGACACUAGGACAUCCCCUGUUUUAACAUUGGUAAAUGCUGAAAAUUACUUCCCCUC
Molecule: long non-coding RNA, 1112 nt
Organism: Lolium rigidum
Lineage: Eukaryota; Viridiplantae; Streptophyta; Magnoliopsida; Poales; Poaceae
Exons: 3
Source: RefSeq, a predicted model, not a curated record